CGCACGGGUGAGUAACACGUGGGUACCUGUCCUUGAGUUCGGGAUACCCUUUCGAAAGGAAGGCUAAUAUCCGGAUAUCGUUCCUCGGGUUGCGAAAUCUGGGUGACGGGAAAGGUGGCGAAAGCUACCGCUCUUGGGAGGGGCUCGCGGCUAUCAGCUAGUUGGUGAGGUAAGCGGCUCACCAAGGGCUAUGACGGGUAGCUGGUCUGAGAGGACGACCAGCCACAUCUGGGAACCUGAGACAGGGUCCCGAUUCAUACGGGAGGCAGCAGUGGGGAAUUUUCCGCAAUGGGCGAAAGCCUGACGGAGUGACGCCGCGUGGGGGACGAAGGCCUUCGGGUUGUAAACCCCUGUCAGAGGGAAAGAAGGGUCGCCUGGCUAAUAUCCGGGUGAUCUGACGGUACCUUCAGAGGAAGCCCCGGUCAACUCUGUGCCAGCAGCCGC
This 444-nucleotide ribosomal RNA is filed under the name uncultured bacterium. RNAcentral's name for it is "bacterial SSU rRNA". It matches the Rfam family "Bacterial small subunit ribosomal RNA", at positions 99 to 518 of the family's 1533-position model. The record is from RNAcentral.